GACGAACGCUGGCGGCGUGCUUAACACAUGCAAGUCGAACGGAAAGGCCCUGCUUUUGUGGGGUGCUCGAGUGGCGAACGGGUGAGUAACACGUGAGUAACCUGCCCUUGACUUUGGGAUAACUUCAGGAAACUGGGGCUAAUACCGGAUAGGAGCUCCUGCUGCAUGGUGGGGGUUGGAAAGUUUCGGCGGUUGGGGAUGGACUCGCGGCUUAUCAGCUUGUUGGUGGGGUAGUGGCUUACCAAGGCUUUGACGGGUAGCCGGCCUGAGAGGGUGACCGGCCACAUUGGGACUGAGAUACGGCCCAGACUCCUACGGGAGGCAGCAGUGGGGAAUAUUGCACAAUGGGCGGAAGCCUGAUGCAGCAACGCCGCGUGCGGGAUUACGGCCUUCGGGUUGUAAACCGCUUUCGCCUGUGACGAAGCGUGAGUGACGGUAAUGGGUAAAGAAGCACCGGCUAACUACGUGCCAGCAGCCGCGGUGAUACGUAGGGUGCGAGCGUUGUCCGGAUUUAUUGGGCGUAAAGGGCUCGUAGGUGGUUGAUCGCGUCGGAAGUGUAAUCUUGGGGCUUAACCCUGAGCGUGCUUUCGAUACGGGUUGACUUGAGGAAGGUAGGGGAGAAUGGAAUUCCUGGUGGAGCGGUGGAAUGCGCAGAUAUCAGGAGGAACACCAGUGGCGAAGGCGGUUCUCUGGGCCUUUCCUGACGCUGAGGAGCGAAAGCGUGGGGAGCGAACAGGCUUAGAUACCCUGGUAGUCCACGCUGUAAACGGUGGGUACUAGGUGUGGGGUCCAUUCCACGGGUUCCGUGCCGUAGCUAACGCUUUAAGUACCCCGCCUGGGGAGUACGGCCGCAAGGCUAAAACUCAAAGGAAUUGACGGGGCCCCGCACAAGCGGCGGAGCAUGCGGAUUAAUUCGAUGCAACGCGUAGAACCUUACCUGGGUUUGACAUGGAUCGGGAGUGCUCAGAGAUGGGUGUGCCUCUUUUGGGGUCGGUUCACAGGUGGUGCAUGGCUGUCGUCAGCUCGUGUCGUGAGAUGUUGGGUUAAGUCCCGCAACGAGCGCAACCCUUGUUCACUGUUGCCAGCACGUUAUGGUGGGGACUCAGUGGAGACCGCCGGGGUCGACUCGGAGGAAGGUGGGGAUGACGUCAAGUCAUCAUGCCCCUUAUGUCCAGGGCUUCACGCAUGCUACAAUGGCUGGUACAGAGAGUGGCGAGCCUGUGAGGGUGAGCGAAUCUCGGAAAGCCGGUCUCAGUUCGGAUUGGGGUCUGCAACUCGACCUCAUGAAGUCGGAGUCGCUAGUAAUCGCAGAUCAGCAACGCUGCGGUGAAUACGUUCCCGGG
RNAcentral lists this ribosomal RNA (1343 nucleotides) under uncultured bacterium. RNAcentral describes it as "16S ribosomal RNA". It matches the Rfam family "Bacterial small subunit ribosomal RNA", at positions 28 to 1378 of the family's 1533-position model. The record is from RNAcentral.